UCAGUUAGUCACUUGUUCAAGUGGCUACUAGCUCUGUUCAUAGCUUAUUUGGCCAUUGGAACAGGUUUAUGAUUUGUGCUUUGUGCUGGUUUUUCUUUUUCUUUUCUUUUCAUGAUAGUUUGGGCAAAUCAGCUCAUAGGGAGUUGCACUAACUUUUUGUUUGCAUGUAUUUGUAUUUUUAUUUCCCUUGACCUUGGCAAAUUUAAGGAUUCAAUUCAAGAGAAAAACUCCCUAAGUGAAGGUAACAUACUGUGAAUGAUUCAAUUUAGGCUUAAAGGGGUAGCAAAUCAAUG
RNAcentral lists this long non-coding RNA (293 nucleotides) under Manihot esculenta (cassava). RNAcentral's name for it is "long non-coding RNA (MESC_LNC007820)". Lineage: Eukaryota; Viridiplantae; Streptophyta; Magnoliopsida; Malpighiales; Euphorbiaceae. The record is from RNAcentral.